This is an RNA transcript of Mastomys coucha (southern multimammate mouse), 1429 nucleotides long. It is a transcript of the gene named SPTY2D1 opposite strand, with no coding region annotated. The transcript is spliced from 3 exons. The record is from RefSeq and is a predicted model, not a curated record. NCBI's taxonomy places the organism in Eukaryota, Metazoa, Chordata, Mammalia, Rodentia, Muridae.
AGUCUGGCCUCCCCAAAAUGGCCAUUUUAGUUUAGACUAGACCUCAAAGUUCACCAGUCAGGAAGUGCCAUGCUGGGUCACCCACCAUCUGGUCUGGAAUGAAGCCAGGGAUCCCCAGGACUCUGCAGAUAGAUCCAAGCCUUCCAAUAACCAUCCUGCCACCAGCAGCCAAGGCGGCCCAGGAUGAUCGUUGUCUUAUGGAUGGUUCUCAUUGCAGGAACGAUGUGGAAGGGAUAUAAAUAUCCCCCAGGAGGGACCCCUCUGGAAGUAAACAAAGAUGACCCUGGUGAACCCAUGCAGCUGUGAAGAUCACCCAACUGCAAAGUUCCUGUUGUAGGUUUCGCAUAAAGUAAUCGCACAUUAGUCAUUCUGUGUAGUUACCACACUUUUUAAGAAGAACAAGAGCAAUAUCCUAACAGAGAAUGAGGACUCAGCUCAUUGUAGUGGGUCAAGUUAUCUACAUUCCCUGCAUGCAUGGGUGUGUCCGCUAAUCUCGGGACAUUCCUAAGGACUCAUCAUCAACCACCCAUCAGCCCCUGUACGUCUCUGUGUUGCUUGUACUGAGGCCAGAAUGCACUGGGUGUUCUCUAUCACUGCCUUGCUUCCAGGUAAGCUGUCUUUAGGAACUGGGGUCUUAUUUCCCAGACUUGGCUAGAAGCCAGCAAGCCCCAGUUCCUGUUCUGCCUUUCUUGGAGCUGGGCUUAACAUGUGGGUGUUGGGUGCUCAUCUGGUUGUGUGUGUGCUACAUGUUACUCCUGUCCUGGUGGUUGUCCAGCGAACAUGCUCAAACCACUAAGCCAUUUCUCCAGCUCCUCAUGCUCCUCUGUUAUAGGAAAUCUGAACUGGUAAUUCUGACAAGAGGAAUUAUAUAGCACUUCUACUGUUUCUUUUCCAUUUGAAUAAACCUUCAAAACCCUGAAUCAUAAAGCUAGAUUCCAUUGCUCUAACCACAUCCAGGUUUUUUGUUUUUUGUUUUUAAUUUUAUGUUUUGAGUGUUUUGCCUGCAUGCCUGGUACUGGUAGAGAUUAGAAGAGGGUGUCGGAGCCCCUGGGACUGGUAUUGAGUCACUGUGUGAGUGCUGAGAAUUGAAUUUGAGUCCUUCACAAGGGUAACAAGUACUCUUAACCACUGAGCUGACUCUCCAGCCCCUAUUUUCCGUUUUUUUUUUUUUAAACUUGGUGUCUGAGAACACAAUGGUAUUCCGACAGUGGAAAGGUGGAAGAGAAAUUAGUGGUAGGCUUAACAGAUCCAGGUACAUAAGAGGCAACAAGCAGGAGUGUGUCCAAGGGACAAGCCUGACCUUAGAACCUAAUAAGCCUACAGAGGUUGCUAGCUAGUACAGUGUUCCAGAUGAUAAGGAAUAACUUUAAGUUUUGAUCAAUAAAUGAAAACCAGUAAAAAUAUCAAUAAAAUAUUUUAAUGCCUACAA